This 403-nucleotide unclassified non-coding RNA is filed under the name soil metagenome. Its description in RNAcentral is "partial contains 5.8S ribosomal RNA, internal transcribed spacer 2, and large subunit ribosomal RNA". The stretch from base 1 to 121 matches the Rfam family "5.8S ribosomal RNA", at positions 35 to 154 of the family's 154-position model. The record is from RNAcentral.
GAUGAAGAACGCAGCGAAAUGCGAUAAGUAAUGUGAAUUGCAGAAUUCAGUGAAUCAUCGAAUCUUUGAACGCACCUUGCGCCCUUUGGCUAUUCCGAAGGGCAUGCCUGUUUGAGUAUCAUGAACACCUCAACUCUCAUGGCCUGCCAUGAUGAGCUUGGACUUUGGGGGUCUUGCCGGCCUAGUGUCGGCUCCUCUCAAACGGAUCAGCUUGCCAGUGUUUGGUGGCGUCACAGGUGUGAUAACUAUCUACGCUUGUGGUUUUCCACCAGGGUAACCUUCAGCAGUGGAGGUUCACUGGAGCUUACAAAUGUCUCUCCUCCGUGAGGACAGCCCUUUGAAUGUUUGAUCUCAAAUCAGGUAGGACUACCCGCUGAACUUAAGCAUAUCAAUAAGCGGAGGA